This is a non-coding RNA of Podospora bellae-mahoneyi, 71 nucleotides long. The record is from the annotation of a RefSeq genome assembly. NCBI's taxonomy places the organism in Eukaryota, Fungi, Ascomycota, Sordariomycetes, Sordariales, Podosporaceae.
GAACCUCGGUAGGAUUCGAACCUACGCCUCCGGCAGAAUAGUUAGCGUACUACACGCUAUACCACGAGGUU